CAGGGUGACAGUGAUCAUCAGACCUACAAAAUGAAGGUGAGGAGGAGUCAAUUGUGAUUGUUCUUUUUGCCCCAUCGUGGAUUUGCCUAUUUUAUUUUACUGAUGAUGGGAAAUUGAUAGAUUGGAAACAUCAGAGUCACUGGUUGUCAGUAAAUGAUAUAAUCAUAAUUAUAAGGCAGUUUUGUUAUAGACUUAAAUUAGUCUUCAGCAAAGUAAUAAUAGGGGCAGGAAUCUUAAGAAAGAUGGCUUAACCCAGUCAGAAGGGACAAGCAUAAUUUUCUUCCAUGGCUAUUUAGAGCCAACUGGGAGCCGGGAUGGGAAACUACUAAAGUUUGAUGCACCAGACUUUGGCCUGAUGCGCUCUCAGCAAAAUGUACAGAGGAGAUGGCCACUUGGUCUUUGGGAGCCCCUGGCUCUCUCUUUUUAAUGACACUAGCUGCUCUUAGCGCCCACUACAGGAAAUGAAGCAAUGGAAGAAGCGCACCUCAUGUGAAAGCAUUUGGAUUUUGCUAGGCUAUUUUCUGAGUAGUAUUUGUCCCGUGGAAAAAUACAGAAGAGGAAAU
Molecule: long non-coding RNA, 563 nt
Filed under: Homo sapiens (human)
Lineage: Eukaryota; Metazoa; Chordata; Mammalia; Primates; Hominidae
Description: HSALNT0029763
Source: RNAcentral